GAGGGUGUAGCUCAGUGGUAGAGCGCAAACUUAGCAUGCACGAGGCCCUGGGUUCAAUCCCCACUACCUCCA
RNAcentral lists this transfer RNA (72 nucleotides) under Camelus bactrianus (Bactrian camel). It matches the Rfam family "tRNA". Rfam says of the family: Transfer RNA (tRNA) molecules are approximately 80 nucleotides in length. Their secondary structure includes four short double-helical elements and three loops (D, anti-codon, and T loops). Further hydrogen bonds mediate the characteristic L-shaped molecular structure. tRNAs have two regions of fundamental functional importance: the anti-codon, which is responsible for specific mRNA codon recognition, and the 3' end, to which the tRNAs corresponding amino acid is attached (by aminoacyl-tRNA synthetases). tRNAs cope with the degeneracy of the genetic code in two manners: having more than one tRNA (with a specific anti-codon) for a particular amino acid; and 'wobble' base-pairing, i.e. permitting non-standard base-pairing at the 3rd anti-codon position. RNAcentral also lists the same sequence under 2 other names. The record is from Rfam by way of RNAcentral. Lineage: Eukaryota; Metazoa; Chordata; Mammalia; Artiodactyla; Camelidae.